CAUCGUGAGUUGGAAUCUGAAGGAAGCUGGCGGCAAACAUCUGGUUUGACGAAAGGAAACUUGAUACAAGGCUGGUGGGUAUGGAUGAGAUUACAAAACAAAUCAAAUCAAAGGCUGAUAGCUAUACGGAAAGUAAGAGUCAGUAGAUUUU
This 151-nucleotide non-coding RNA is filed under the name uncultured Parabacteroides sp. The record is from RNAcentral. Lineage: Bacteria; Pseudomonadati; Bacteroidota; Bacteroidia; Bacteroidales; Tannerellaceae.